AAUCGACAGCAGCGGCCGUGUCAGCAGACUUCCUGGAUCAUGAAGCGGCAUCAUGCACGAUGGCAGAGUGAAACCAGAUGUCCUCUUUCUCAUUCCUCGGCACAACUCCUCCCCGGACCCCAAACUCCUUUCUUACUUCCUCAAAAUUCCAGGACAUAUAAACCAGACGCUGACCUACUUGCGCAUUGGACUCGCCCGGCGCCAAAACAGGACCACUUCAACAGAAUCUGACAAACUUCUGGACUUUGAAGGAUGUGGCGGCGUUGCCUUGGCGUGUUUCUUCUGGCGGUGUCGGCGCUGGCCCGCCUGGAUCAGGUGACCCUGGACAGCCAAUGGGAACAGUGGAAGAUCACGCACGGUCGGGAAUACAACGG
This is a long non-coding RNA of Hippocampus comes (tiger tail seahorse), 374 nucleotides long. RefSeq lists it as uncharacterized. NCBI's taxonomy places the organism in Eukaryota, Metazoa, Chordata, Actinopteri, Syngnathiformes, Syngnathidae. The transcript has 3 exons. The record is from RefSeq and is a predicted model, not a curated record.